GGCUUUCAACGACUAUAUCAAC
This 22-nucleotide microRNA is filed under the name Caenorhabditis briggsae. Its description in RNAcentral is "Cbr-Mir-90-P1_5p* (star (passenger))". Lineage: Eukaryota; Metazoa; Nematoda; Chromadorea; Rhabditida; Rhabditidae. The record is from RNAcentral.